ACUGAUGUAGAACAAGGCAUGCGCAAACAACCGCGCGUCUUGUUCUACUCACC
RNAcentral lists this microRNA precursor (53 nucleotides) under Ciona intestinalis (vase tunicate). Its description in RNAcentral is "microRNA cin-mir-4056 precursor". The record is from miRBase by way of RNAcentral. Lineage: Eukaryota; Metazoa; Chordata; Ascidiacea; Phlebobranchia; Cionidae.